AACGAACGCUGGCGGCAUGCCUAACACAUGCAAGUCGAACGAGACCUUCGGGUCUAGUGGCGCACGGGUGCGUAACGCGUGGGAACCUGCCUUUAGGUUCGGAACAACUCAGAGAAAUUUGAGCUAAUACCGGAUGAUGUCUUCGGACCAAAGAUUUAUCGCCUUUAGAUGGGCCCGCGUUGGAUUAGCUAGUUGGUGGGGUAAAGGCCUACCAAGGCGACGAUCCAUAGCUGGUCUGAGAGGAUGAUCAGCCACACUGGGACUGAGACACGGCCCAGACUCCUAGGGGGGGCAGCAGUGGGGAAUAUUGGACAAGGGGCGAAAGCCUGAGACAGCAAUGCCGCGUGAGUGGUGAAGGCCUUAGGGUUGUAAAGCUCUUUUAACCGAGAUGAUAAUGACGGUAUCGGGAGAAUAAGCUCCGGCUAACUCCGUG
RNAcentral lists this ribosomal RNA (433 nucleotides) under uncultured bacterium. RNAcentral describes it as "partial 16S ribosomal RNA". It matches the Rfam family "Bacterial small subunit ribosomal RNA", at positions 29 to 507 of the family's 1533-position model. The record is from RNAcentral.